RNAcentral lists this small nuclear RNA (18 nucleotides) under Arabidopsis thaliana (thale cress). RNAcentral describes it as "snRNA_09345". The record is from RNAcentral. Lineage: Eukaryota; Viridiplantae; Streptophyta; Magnoliopsida; Brassicales; Brassicaceae.
GGUGUCCUAAGAUGAGCU